Molecule: ribosomal RNA, 877 nt
Filed under: Marasmius maximus
Lineage: Eukaryota; Fungi; Basidiomycota; Agaricomycetes; Agaricales; Marasmiaceae
Description: eukaryotic LSU rRNA
Rfam family: 5.8S ribosomal RNA (bases 291-444)
Source: RNAcentral
UCUUUGGUCAAUUAGAGGAAGUAAAAGUCGUAACAAGGUUUCCGUAGGUGAACCUGCGGAAGGAUCAUUAUUGAAACAUUGUAAAGGAAGGUUGAGCUGGCUCUUCCAGAGCAUGUGCUCGCCUUUCUUUCAAUUAUUCAUCCACCUGUGCACUUUUUGUAGGAAGACCGAGAAGAUAUAUACCCACGUAUGUGUUGGUAUCGGGCUUUCUAUGUAUUUACACACCCUGAUUGUAUGUUUUUGAAUGUCCUUUAUAAGGGUCCUAGUUGACCCUUUUAAACAAACUAUACAACUUUCAGCAACGGAUCUCUUGGCUCUCGCAUCGAUGAAGAACGCAGCGAAAUGCGAUAAGUAAUGUGAAUUGCAGAAUUCAGUGAAUCAUCGAAUCUUUGAACGCACCUUGCGCCUCUUGGUAUUCCGAGAGGCAUGCCUGUUUGAGUGUCAUUUAAUUCUCAACCUCAAAAGCUUUUUUUGGCUUUUGAGGCUUGGAUGUGGAGGCUUUUUGCUGGCUUGCUUCAGAGUCCGGCUCCUCUCAAAUGCAUUAGUGGAAACUGUUUGUAGUCCGCAUUGGUGUGAUAAUUAUCUGCGCCAUUGUAUUUCGUGGCUACAGCUCAUAACAGUAUUCGCUUCAAACCGUCCUAAGUCGCUGGACAACCCUUGACUAUUUUGACCUCAAAUCAGGUAGGACUACCCGCUGAACUUAAGCAUAUCAAUAAGCGGAGGAAAAGAAACUAACAAGGAUUCCCCUAGUAACUGCGAGUGAAGAGGGAAAAGCUCAAAUUUAAAAUCUGGCAGCCUCGCUGUCCGAGUUGUAAUUUAGAGAAGUGCUACCCGCGCUGGACCGUGUACAAGUCUCCUGGGGCGGGGGCGGCGGGCC